UGGGGAAUUUUGGACAAUGGGCGAAAGCCUGAUCCAGCAAUGCCGCGUGUGUGAAGAAGGCCUUCGGGUUGUAAAGCACUUUUGUCCGGAAAGAAAUCCUUGGCUCUAAUACAGUCGGGGGAUGACGGUACCGGAAGAAUAAGCACCGGCUAACUACGUGCCAGCAGCCGCGGUAAUACGUAGGGUGCAAGCGUUAAUCGGAAUUACUGGGCGUAAAGCGUGCGCAGGCGGUUUGCUAAGACCGAUGUGAAAUCCCCGGGCUCAACCUGGGAACUGCAUUGGUGACUGGCAGGCUAGAGUAUGGCAGAGGGGGGUAGAAUUCCACGUGUAGCAGUGAAAUGCGUAGAGAUGUGGAGGAAUACCGAUGGCGAAGGCAGCCCCCUGGGCCAAUACUGACGCUCAUGCACGAAAGCGUGGGGAGCAAACAGGAUUAGAUACCCUGGUAGUCCACGCCCUAAAACGAUGUCAACUAGUUGUUGGGGAUUCAUUUCCUUAGUAACGUAGCUAACGCGUGAAGUUGACCGCCUGGGGUGUACGGUCGCAAGAUUAAAACUCAAAUGAAUUGACGGGGUCAUAGCUGUUUCCU
Molecule: ribosomal RNA, 586 nt
Filed under: uncultured bacterium
Lineage: Bacteria
Description: partial 16S ribosomal RNA
Rfam family: Bacterial small subunit ribosomal RNA
Source: RNAcentral